UAAAUAAAAUUAGUUUGAUUUUUAAAUUAUUUUUAAAUAAAAGAAUAUAAAAGAUAAAAGUUUAAGUAUAAAUUAAGAAUAAAUUUAAUUAAUAUUAUAGAUAGUAAUGAAAAUGAUUUUUUAUUAUAAAAGUAAAAGUAGAUUUUAUUUAUUGUACCUUUUGUAUAAGGGUUGAUUAAAAAAAAUAUUUUAAUAUAAAUAUUUCUCGAAUUUAAUUGAUUUAUUUAAAAAUUUUAGUUAAUGUAGAAAUAUUAUUAAUAAUUUUUAAAUGGAAGUGAAAUGUUAGUCGAUUUUAAAUAUAUCUAGUUUUUUUAGAAUUGAAUUUAAUUCAGAUUUAUAAAUUAUAUGAUUUAAAUUAUUUUAUAAGUAUAAGUUUAUAAAUUAAAUAUCUUUGGGAUAAACUAGAGAUAUGAUUAAAUAAUUAAAUUUUUAAUUUAUAUAAUAGAAAUAUUCAUAAAAUUUGAAUUUUUUAAAAAAAAUGUUAUAAUUUAUAAACAUAAAAUAAAUAGAUUUUUAAUUUAAUUUUUAUAAUUAUAAAAAAAAAUUAUUUAAUUAAAAAAUAAUUGAUAUUAUGAUUAAAUUAGUAAAAAAUGAUGUAUAAUUAAUAAAUAAUUUUAAAAUUAUAUUAAGGAAUUCGACAAAAAUUUUAUUAUUAUAGUAAAAAUAUAUUCACCUGUUUAUCAAAAACAUGGCCUAUUUGAUUAAAAAUAUUAGGUCUACUCUGCCCAUUGAAAAAGAUUAAAAGGCUGCAGUAUUUUGACUGUACUAAGGUAGCAUAAUCAUUUGUUUUUUAAUUGAAAACUGGAAUGAAAGAGUGAAUGAAAUAUAAAUUGUCUCAGUAUAAUUGAUUGAAUUUAAAUUAAAAGUUAAAAUGCUUUUAUAUAUUUAUAAGACGAUAAGACCCUAUAGAAUUUAAUAAAAUUUAUUUUUUAAAAUCAUUAUGUUAAGAAAAGAUCUAAUUAAUAAAUAUAUUUUAUUGGGAGGAUAUUUAAAUUAAAAUAACUUUAAAAUAAUUUAAACAUAAAUAAAUGAGUAAGUAAUUUGAUUAUUAUUAUAAUUAUUAGAAUAAAUUACCUUAGGGAUAACAGCGUAAUAAUUUUGGAGAGUUCAUAUUGAUAAAAUUGUUUGCGACCUCGAUGUUGAAUUAUGAUAAAAUUUAAAUGGAGAGAUUUAAAUUUUUAGUCUGUUCGACUAUUAAAAUCAUACAUGAUUUGAGUUCAGAUCGGUGUAAGCCAGAUCGGUUUCUAUCUAUAAAAAAGGAAUAUUUUAUUGUACGAAAGGACUUAAAAUAUUAAAUAUUUUUAUUAUGAAUUAAUUAAUUAUUAAUUAAUUUUACUGAAUAAAAUUAAAUUAAUUGAAUUUAUAAAUAAUAGUUA
This 1376-nucleotide ribosomal RNA is filed under the name Vespa basalis. RNAcentral describes it as "16S ribosomal RNA". The record is from RNAcentral. Lineage: Eukaryota; Metazoa; Arthropoda; Insecta; Hymenoptera; Vespidae.